Molecule: ribosomal RNA, 336 nt
Filed under: Adramini gen. 1 sp. 1 XC-2018
Lineage: Eukaryota; Metazoa; Arthropoda; Insecta; Diptera; Tephritidae
Description: partial 16S ribosomal RNA
Source: RNAcentral
GGCCGCAGUAUUUUAACUGUGCAAAGGUAGCAUAAUCAUUAGUCUUUUAAUUGAAGGCUGGUAUGAACGGUUGGACGAAGUAUAGACUGUUUCAUAUAAAUUUAUAUUAGAAUUUUAUAUUUUAGUAAAAAAGCUAAAAUUUUAUUAAAAGACGAGAAGACCCUAUAAAUCUUUAUAUAGAAUUGUAUUUAAGUUUUUUGGAUAUUUUUGAUUUUCUUUUUAUUUUGUAUUUUGUUGGGGUGAUGUUAAAAUUUAAUGAACUUUUAAUUUAUUAAAACAUUAAUUUAUGAUAUGUUGAUCCAUUAAUAAUGAUUAUAAGAUUAAGUUACUUUAGGG